GACGAACGCUGGCGGCGUGCUUAACACAUGCAAGUCGAACGGAAAGGCCUGCUUUCCCUUGUGGAUUGCGGGUACUCGAGUGGCGAACGGGUGAGUAACACGUGAGUGAUCUGCCCCCAACUUGGGUAUAAGCCUGGGAAACUGGGUCUAAUUCCCGAUAGGACUGCAGGGUGGUGCCUGUGGUGGAAAACGAUUUUCUAGUGGUUGGGGAUGAGCUCGCGGCCUAUCAGCUUGUUGGUGGGGUAAUGGCCUACCAAGGCGGCGACGGGUAGCCGGCCUGAGAGGGUGGACGGCCACAUUGGGACUGAGAUACGGCCCAGACUCCUACGGGAGGCAGCAGUGGGGAAUAUUGCACAAUGGGCGGAAGCCUGAUGCAGCGACGCCGCGUGGGGGAUGACGGCCUUCGGGUUGUAAACUCCUUUCGACCGCGAGGAAGCCACCUGGUUGGAAGGGUGGUGACGGUAGUGGUAGAAGAAGCACCGGCUAGCUACGUG
This 494-nucleotide ribosomal RNA is filed under the name uncultured bacterium. RNAcentral describes it as "partial 16S ribosomal RNA". It matches the Rfam family "Bacterial small subunit ribosomal RNA", at positions 28 to 507 of the family's 1533-position model. The record is from RNAcentral.